UAUAAAGGAUUUACUCUUUAACAGUACAAG
This 30-nucleotide non-coding RNA is filed under the name Mus musculus (house mouse). The record is from RNAcentral. Lineage: Eukaryota; Metazoa; Chordata; Mammalia; Rodentia; Muridae.